UACGUAGGGUGCAAGCGUUGUCCGGAAUUAUUGGGCGUAAAGAGCUCGUAGGCGGUCUGUCGCGUCGGCUGUGAAAUCCCGAGGCUCAACCUCGGGUCUGCAGUCGAUACGGGCAAACUGGAGUGUUGCAGGGGAGACUGGAAUUCCUGGUGUAGCGGUGAAAUGCGCAGAUAUCUGGAGGAAUACCGGUGGCGAAGGCGGCAUCCUGGACCGAGAUUGACACUGAGGAGCGAAAGCCAGGGGAGCAAACGGG
RNAcentral lists this ribosomal RNA (253 nucleotides) under uncultured bacterium. Its description in RNAcentral is "partial 16S ribosomal RNA". It matches the Rfam family "Bacterial small subunit ribosomal RNA", at positions 524 to 776 of the family's 1533-position model. The record is from RNAcentral.